This 427-nucleotide ribosomal RNA is filed under the name uncultured bacterium. RNAcentral describes it as "bacterial SSU rRNA". It matches the Rfam family "Bacterial small subunit ribosomal RNA", at positions 355 to 774 of the family's 1533-position model. The record is from RNAcentral.
UAGGGAAUAUUGGACAAUGGGGGCAACCCUGAUCCAGCCAUGCCGCGUGAGUGAAGAAGGCCCUCGGGUUGUAAAGCUCUUUUGUCCGGAAAGAAAAGCAUUCGGUGAAUACCCUGAUGUUCUGACGGUACCGGAAGAAUAAGCACCGGCUAACUUCGUGCCAGCAGCCGCGGUAAUACGAAGGGUGCAAGCGUUACUCGGAAUUACUGGGCGUAAAGCGUGCGUAGGUGGUUGUUUAAGUCUGAUGUGAAAGCCCUGGGCUCAACCUGGGAAUGGCAUUGGAAACUGGGCAGCUAGAGUGCGGUAGAGGGUAGUGGAAUUCCCGGUGUAGCAGUGAAAUGCGUAGAGAUCGGGAGGAACAUCUGUGGCGAAGGCGACUGCCUGGACCAGCACUGACACUGAGGCACGAAAGCGUGGGGAGCAAACA